This 350-nucleotide ribosomal RNA is filed under the name uncultured bacterium. Its description in RNAcentral is "bacterial SSU rRNA". It matches the Rfam family "Bacterial small subunit ribosomal RNA", at positions 917 to 1287 of the family's 1533-position model. The record is from RNAcentral.
GGACCCGCACAAGUAGUGGAGCAUGUGGUUUAAUUCGAAGAUACGCGCAGAACCUUACCAACACUUGACAUGUUCGUCGCGACUUUAAGAGAUUAAAGUUUUCGGUUCGGCCGGACGAAACACAGGUGCUGCAUGGCUGUCGUCAGCUCGUGUCGUGAGAUGUUGGUUAAGUCCCGCAACGAGCGCAACCCUCACUUUUAGUUGCCAUCAUUUAGUUGGGCACUCUGAAAGAACUGCCAGUGAUAAGCUGGAGGAAGGUGGGGAUGACGUCAAGUCCUCAUGGCCCUUACGUGUUGGGCUACACACGUGCUACAAUGGUAGUGACAAUGGGUUAAUCCCAAAAAGCUAUC